AAGAUAGAGGCGCAUCUUAUCAUGAGUAUCGCAAUUUCUCUUGCGAGGGCUGCCGGGCCGUGUGAAAAAGGGAUGGAUGCCGAAGUGUGUGUCGUGGCGGGUACAUUGCUGGCAAUGCGGAAAAUAUCCGUCUUGUUGUUGCAGAAAUGCGGAGUGCUAUCU
RNAcentral lists this non-coding RNA (162 nucleotides) under human gut metagenome. RNAcentral's name for it is "Lysine riboswitch". It matches the Rfam family "Lysine riboswitch aptamer". Rfam says of the family: Riboswitches are metabolite binding domains within certain messenger RNAs that serve as precision sensors for their corresponding targets. Allosteric rearrangement of mRNA structure is mediated by ligand binding, and this results in modulation of gene expression. The record is from RNAcentral.